This 253-nucleotide ribosomal RNA is filed under the name uncultured microorganism. Its description in RNAcentral is "partial 16S ribosomal RNA". It matches the Rfam family "Bacterial small subunit ribosomal RNA", at positions 524 to 776 of the family's 1533-position model. The record is from RNAcentral.
UACGAAGGGUGCAAGCGUUACUCGGAAUUACUGGGCGUAAAGCGCACGUAGGCGGUGCGGUAAGUCAGGGGUUAAAGGCUGCAGCUCAACUGCAGUAAGGCCUUUGAUACUAUCGUGCUAGAGUGUCAGAGAGGAUGGCGGAAUUCCCGGUGUAGCAGUGAAAUGCGUAGAGAUCAGGAGGAACACCGAUGGCGAAGGCAGCCCCCUGGGCCUGUACUGACGCUCAUGCACGAAAGCGUGGGGAGCAAACAGG